This 288-nucleotide ribosomal RNA is filed under the name uncultured bacterium. Its description in RNAcentral is "partial 16S ribosomal RNA". It matches the Rfam family "Bacterial small subunit ribosomal RNA", at positions 28 to 319 of the family's 1533-position model. The record is from RNAcentral.
GACGAACGCUGGCGGCGUGCUUAACACAUGCAAGUCGAGCGGUAAGGCCCUUUCGGGGGUACGACGAGCGGCGAACGGGUGAGUAACACGUGGGUGACCUGCCCUCAGCUCUGGGAUAAGCCUGGGAAACCGGGUCUAAUACUGGAUAUGACUCCAUGACGCAUGUUGUGGGGUGGAAAGCCUUGUGCGGCUGAGGAUGGGCCCGCGCUAUCAGCUUGUUGGUGGGGUGAGGCCUACCAAGGCGACGACGGGUAGCCGGCCUGAGAGGGCGACCGGCCACACUGGGAC